This 279-nucleotide ribosomal RNA is filed under the name uncultured bacterium. Its description in RNAcentral is "partial 16S ribosomal RNA". It matches the Rfam family "Bacterial small subunit ribosomal RNA", at positions 506 to 784 of the family's 1533-position model. The record is from RNAcentral.
UGCCAGCAGCCGCGGUAAUACGGAGGGUGCGAGCGUUGUUCGGAAUCAUUGGGCGUAAAGCGCGUGUAGGCGGCUUGUCAAGCCGGAUGUGAAAUCCCGGGGCCCAACCCCGGAACUGCAUUCGAAACUGCCUCGCUAGAGUCUCGGAGAGGAAGGCGGAAUUCCCGGUGUAGAGGUGAAAUUCGUAGAUAUCGGGAGGAACACCAGUGGCGAAGGCGGCCUUCUGGACGAUGACUGACGCUGAGACGCGAAAGCGUGGGUAGCGAACGGGAUUAGAUA